GUAGUCUCGCACAGAUGCAUAUCAAUAAGCGGAGGAAAAGAAACUAACAAGGAUUCCCCUAGUAACGGCGAGUGAAGCGGGAAGAGCUCAAAUUUGAAAUCUUAAAGGGUUUCCCUUUACGAAUUGUAGUUUAAAGAAGUGUUUUCUGUUGAGGUUUUGGUAAAAGUUCUUUGGAAUAGGACAUCAUAGAGGGUGAGAAUCCCGUAUUUGACCUUUACUUACAACUUUGUGAUACACUUUCAAAGAGUCGGAUUGUUUGGGAAUGCAGUCCAAAAUGGGUGGUAAAUUUCAUCUAAAGCCUAAAUAUUGGCGAGAGACCGAUAGCGAACAAGUACCGUGAGGGAAAGAUGAAAAGAACUUUGAAAAGAGAGUUAAACAGUACGUGAAAUUGUCAAAAGGGAAGCGUUUGACACCAGUGUUGUUUUUUCUGAAAAUCAAUUAAAGAACUGUUUAUGCUAAGCUGUUUAGACUUUAUCAGCUAUCUGUUUAGUUUUGAGCUUUUCUUUAAUGCACUUUUCAGUUAACAAGUCAACAUCAAUUUCUUUUGCUGUAAAAAAGCUUGAGGAAGGUGGCUUGAGAUUCGUCUUAAGUGUUUAUAGCCUCUUGCCUAUGCAGUCGGAGAGAUUGAGGUCUGCAGCGUAGAUCCUUCGGGGCUAAAUGCAUUUGUGCUAAGUUAUAGCAUUUUAUAGACAACUUGUUGACUAUGAUUUGUCUUGUAGCUUACUCGCUUAUGUUAUUUUACCUACGCUUAGGAUGUUGACGCAUGAGAUAUACGC
RNAcentral lists this ribosomal RNA (776 nucleotides) under uncultured Neocallimastigales. RNAcentral's name for it is "partial large subunit ribosomal RNA". It matches the Rfam family "Eukaryotic large subunit ribosomal RNA", at positions 24 to 647 of the family's 3401-position model. The record is from RNAcentral. Lineage: Eukaryota; Fungi; Neocallimastigomycota; Neocallimastigomycetes; Neocallimastigales.